Molecule: ribosomal RNA, 440 nt
Filed under: uncultured bacterium
Lineage: Bacteria
Description: partial 16S ribosomal RNA
Rfam family: Bacterial small subunit ribosomal RNA
Source: RNAcentral
CCUACGGGGGGCAGCAGUGGGGAAUAUUGCACAAUGGGGGAAACCCUGAUGCAGCGACGCCGCGUGAGUGAGGAAGUAUUUCGGUAUGUAAAGCUCUAUCAGCAGGGAAGAAAAUGACGGUACCUGACUAAGAAGCCCCGGCUAACUACGUGCCAGCAGCCGCGGUAAUACGUAGGGGGCAAGCGUUAUCCGGAUUUACUGGGUGUAAAGGGAGCGUAGACGGUUAAUCAAGUCAGAAGUGAAAACCCGGGGCUCAACCUUGGGACUGCUUUUGAAACUGAGUAGCUAGAGUGCAGGAGAGGUAAGCGGAAUUCCUAGUGUAGCGGUGAAAUGCGUAGAUAUUAGGAGGAACACCAGUGGCGAAGGCGGCUUACUGGACUGUAACUGACGUUGAGGCUCGAAAGCGUGGGGAGCAAACAGGAUUAGAUACCCCGGUAGUC